GAUGAACGCUGGCGGCGUGCCUAAUACAUGCAAGUCGAGCGAACGGACGAGAAGCUUGCUUCUCUGAUGUUAGCGGCGGACGGGUGAGUAACACGUGGAUAACCUACCUAUAAGACUGGGAUAACUUCGGGAAACCGGAGCUAAUACCGGAUGAUAUUUUGAACCGCAUGGUUCAAAAGUGAAAGACGGUCUUGCUGUCACUUAUAGAUGGAUCCGCGCUGCAUUAGCUAGUUGGUAAGGUAACGGCUUACCAAGGCAACGAUGCAUAGCCGACCUGAGAGGGGGACGGGCCCACCUGGACCUGAGCCAGGGCCCAAACCCCACGGGGAGGCAGCAGGGGGAAUUCUUCCCAAAGGGGGAAAACCCUGAGGGAGAAACCCGGGGGGGGGUAUGAAGGUUUUCGGAUCGAAAACCCUUGUUUUUAGGGAAAAACAUUUGUGAAAGAAACGGUGACAUUCUUGGGGGUCCUAAACAAGAAAGCACGGCUAACAACCUG
This 496-nucleotide ribosomal RNA is filed under the name uncultured bacterium. Its description in RNAcentral is "partial 16S ribosomal RNA". It matches the Rfam family "Bacterial small subunit ribosomal RNA", at positions 28 to 507 of the family's 1533-position model. The record is from RNAcentral.